GAUGAACGCUGGCGGCGUGCCUAAUACAUGCAAGUCGAGCGAAUGGAUUGAGAGCUUGCUCUCAAGAAGUUAGCGGCGGACGGGUGAGUAACACGUGGGUAACCUGCCCAUAAGACUGGGAUAACUCCGGGAAACCGGGGCUAAUACCGGAUAACAUUUUGAACUGCAUGGUUCGAAAUUGAAAGGCGGCUUCGGCUGUCACUUAUGGAUGGACCCGCGUCGCAUUAGCUAGUUGGUGAGGUAACGGCUCACCAAGGCAACGAUGCGUAGCCGACCUGAGAGGGUGAUCGGCCACACUGGGACUGAGACACGGCCCAGACUCCUACGGGAGGCAGCAGUAGGGAAUCUUCCGCAAUGGACGAAAGUCUGACGGAGCAACGCCGCGUGAGUGAUGAAGGCUUUCGGUCGUAAACUCUGUUGUUAGGGAAGAACAAGUGCUAGUUGAAUAAGCUGGCACCUUGACGGUACCUAACCAGAAAGCCACGGCUAACUACGUGCC
Molecule: ribosomal RNA, 499 nt
Filed under: uncultured bacterium
Lineage: Bacteria
Description: bacterial SSU rRNA
Rfam family: Bacterial small subunit ribosomal RNA
Source: RNAcentral